UACGAAGGGUGCAAGCGUUACUCGGAAUUACUGGGCGUAAAGCGUGCGUAGACGGUUAUUUAAGUCGGGUGUGAAAGCCCCGGGCUCAACCUGGGAAUUGCAUUCGAGACUGAAUAGCUAGGGUACGGUAGAGGGAAGUGGAAUUUCCGGUGUAGCGGUGAAAUGCGUAGAUAUCGGAAGGAACAUCAGUGGCGAACGCGACUUCCUGGACCAAUACCGACGUUCAGGCACGAAAGCGUGGGGAGCAAACAGG
This 253-nucleotide ribosomal RNA is filed under the name uncultured bacterium. RNAcentral describes it as "partial 16S ribosomal RNA". It matches the Rfam family "Bacterial small subunit ribosomal RNA", at positions 524 to 776 of the family's 1533-position model. The record is from RNAcentral.